Dermacentor andersoni is the source of this 1952-nucleotide long non-coding RNA. RefSeq lists it as uncharacterized. The record is from RefSeq and is a predicted model, not a curated record. NCBI's taxonomy places the organism in Eukaryota, Metazoa, Arthropoda, Arachnida, Ixodida, Ixodidae.
UGCGUGUACAGACAACUCGAAACAUGUCGCGACGCGCGCUCACGAGUUGCAAGUCAUGCUCGCGGCCGGAGCCCAACGCGAAUGCGAAGGCGGCCACGGAACCGCGAAGGUUCUGUCGGCGGGUUAUAAUAUGCGGCGACAGCGGUUAUAAUAUGCGGCGACAGCGCCAACGCCAUUGCAUGUCCAAGAACGCAGUGGAAGCAUGUGGAAGCUUCUAGAACAUUUCGAGUACGGCAACUGUAUGCAGGCUGCGAAUUUUUUUUUUAUUCCUUUGUUUUUACCAUCCCCAGUGGCGCUGAUCACGGUGAUAACAGCGGCGCGGCGGCUAGCGAGCCGGUGACGUAGUUCGACGUUGGACCAAUGCGAGAAGAAAAGAAAUGCCCCGGCGUAUCAACGCAUGCGCCGAAGAGCUUAGCGUCGCGGUCGUCGCGGGCAUAUAGCGAGCAUCCGAUGGCUUGGGCCGCCAUUUUGAAUUUUCUGUCCACUUCAGCGUGACUCUUAUCGGCUGCCUUCUGCGUCGCACCGCACUUCGAAGUUGCACGCUGCGCAUGUUCCCGCCUUCGACCGACUCUGGAAGCACUGGCUUCAUGACCCGGGCCUGCAAAACGUGAGGCAUACCUCGAGAGACUUGUUGCCCCACCCGCUUGCCGUCUCGGCAAUUCCUGGCCCCGCUUUCGCGCUCCCGGAGUGUGACUGCCAGCCGGCAUUUACUACGUUACUAUACGCCAACGACACUCCGGUUGAGCCGGCGCAGCGUAUAAGUCGCGAGUCGUUCCUGCCGAAUACUCGUUCUUUUGUUUGUGCGCGUUCCCACCCCCCGACGGCGCCUGGACUAUUGAACUGUGGACGAACUCUGAGCGUGGCCAUUAACCGAGGACCAGCGCGGGAACCCCUCGUCACGGCUAGCGUCGUCCUCUACGAGCUUCGCAUCGAGCGUCCUAAACGCUCAAAAGGCAUUUCCAUUUCGUUUGUGCAUUUUUCGAGAUGGUCUAGCUGGCGAGGGUGGCGCACGCCUUAGAGAAGUUAAAUUCAGUUGCACUAGCUAGCGCUUACUAGGAUGUAUGGCUACAUCACAAGAUAACGUAAAGUUAGUUUUGUUGCUUAGCUGUAAGCCCGAGGUUUCGCGGGCAUGGCUUGCGGCCACACGGGUCUUCUCCGUGCCGGAAUCGAAGAGGACGGGCCACGUGUUGCGGGGUGGCGGCGUAUAGCUUCAGGUUUAGCGGUCACACAGCUUAGCUCACACUAGGCAGGCUAGCCGAUAGCCGUCCUCAUGCGACUGCGUCAGGGACAUGGACCCAUCCGUAUGGCCUUGCCACCCGACCCCACUAUUUCGUGACAAGGUAGCCUGCGCGCGGGAGUGCGCGGACUACCUUGCGAAAUCUAGCGAAAUGUGGACUCACGGUAGCAAGCGUCAUUCGGAAACUGCCUCGCCAGCUAUCAUGUACUAACCCGCUCUACGCAGCAGCUCUACGCCGGACGUCGCCUGCUGUGUUCGUCGGAGCAGGGCCGGGCAUCAGCUGCGAGCGUCACUCGCACCGCCGCACACAGUCUUCCGUCGUCGGUGCGGUCUUGUGGGCCUGGACUACUACGGGAUCCCGAGGUCCGCUUUCGAGAUUGCGGACCACGAGUAGAAAGGAUAUCCAGUGUGCUGCUCCACGUUUGCCAUCCUCCCAACGUCCCCCACCGGAGAUGGCCUUGAGCACUUCUUACCGUGGCUGACCGCGUUGGCUCCUUUGCAUUUCCACGUCCAUGGCGUCCUGCUGGCACGGGAGACUUCGUCUGCUACUACUGUCCACGUGUAAGAUGGAUAUCCAGCGCGCUGCUCCACGUUUGCCAUCCUCCCAACGUCCCCUUCAGGAGAUGGCCUAGAGCACCGCUCGCACCGUGGCCGACCGUUCCCCUUGGCCGGUGCGGUCUCGCUGGCAGGCGAGAUUGCUCAUCGCCCUGCUUUG